AGUUUGAUCCUGGCUCAGGAUGAACGCUAGCGACAGGCCUAACACAUGCAAGUCGAGGGGCAGCAUAAAGGUAGCAAUACUUUGGUGGCGACCGGCGCACGGGUGAGUAACACGUAUGCAACCUACCUGUAAGAGGGGAAUAACCCGGAGAAAUUCGGACUAAUACCGCAUAAUACUGAUUAUCUGCAUGGAUUGAUCAGUUAAACAUUUAUGGCUUACAGAUGGGCAUGCGUAUGAUUAGAUAGUUGGUAGGGUAACGGCCUACCAAGUCAACGAUCAUUAGGGGUUCUGAGAGGAAGGUCCCCCACACUGGUACUGAGACACGGACCAGACUCCUACGGGAGGCAGCAGUGAGGAAUAUUGGUCAAUGGGCGAGAGCCUGAACCAGCCAAGUCGCGUGAAGGAAGAAGGUUCUAUGGAUUGUAAACUUCUUUUGUAAGGGAAUAAAAAGAGUUACGUGUAACUUAUUGUAUGUACUUUACGAAUAAGGAUCGGCUAACUCCGUGCCAGCAGCCGCGGUAAUACGGAGGAUCCAAGCGUUAUCCGGAUUUAUUGGGUUUAAAGGGUGCGUAGGCGGGCCCUUAAGUCAGUGGUGAAAGUUUGCAGCUUAACUGUAAAAUUGCCAUUGAAACUGAGGGUCUUGAGUGUAAAUAAGGUAGGCGGAAUGUGUUGUGUAGCGGUGAAAUGCUUAGAUAUAACACAGAACACCAAUUGCGAAGGCAGCUUACUGGGAUACAACUGACGCUGAGGCACGAAAGCGUGGGGAUCAAACAGGAUUAGAUACCCUGGUAGUCCAAUCC
RNAcentral lists this ribosomal RNA (800 nucleotides) under uncultured bacterium. RNAcentral describes it as "bacterial SSU rRNA". It matches the Rfam family "Bacterial small subunit ribosomal RNA", at positions 10 to 801 of the family's 1533-position model. The record is from RNAcentral.